AACCUUUAUUGAACACUUCCUGUGCAUUAUUCUGUAAAACACUUUACGUAUUGCAUUAUCUCCUUUCAGCAUAAAAACCAUCUUACAUAGGAGGUACUGUAAAUUCCUAUUUACAGAUCAAAAGUUGAAGUUUACCAUUUAACUUGCUCCAAAUUAUACAAUGAGCAGUUAAAAUCCAGCUCUAUUUCCUGAUGUUUGCUUGUCAAAGCCAAAUUUCUCAGAUCUUUGAGAAAAACAAUACUGGCUUAUAAAACUGGCAGGAGGCUUUGGGUAAAAUAAAGAGAUUUACGGUUACUUUGCCCUCAUGAUUAAAUCACUCUCAGAAGUGGGAAGUUAAGGGGUUAGUUAGGAAGAACUCUGUCUAAAGUUUAGCCAAGCUGAAGGUAAGUUUAAGAUUCUCUUGGUCACCCAAAUAACCUCUGAUAUUCAAAGAAAUUAACUCUCCUUUAGUGACAAGUGCAAAUAAUUUCAACAACUGUAUUUCACUUUAUAAUUCAGUACAUUUUUACAGCACUAGCAAUCUAUAUUUGUUAUAGAAAAUUAACAACUGAGUUUCAGAAAAGCUAUAUUUAGGCUAGUUAUUUAUAUAUGUUAUGCAAAUGAGUUACCUACUUUUUACAAUAAUGAUUUUUUAAAUUUUGUUCUUUGUAAAUAACAACACUCUGGAAUUUUGCUCUAAAUUUCUAUUCGACAUUUAUCAGUGCUUUGUAAUUUAAGCAAUGCCCUGCUAUAGCAUAUGAAUUGUUUGCAACCUAAAAUAAAAAUGCAUACAUGCCACAUACAAGAACAAAAAGUUUUAUUUCUUCAUAAUAAUGCAAAUGGUCCCCAACUUACAAUUUUUUGACUUUGCAAUGGUAUUAAAGUCAUACAUGUUCAGUAGGAACUGGACUUUGAAUUUUGAAUUUUGGUCUUUUUCCCAGCUAGCCAUAUGCUGCAGCUCUGAAACUAACAGCACUAAUGGCCUGAACCUAGCCAGAACACAUAUUGGGACUUGAACCCACGUCUCAGGACUUGAACCCAGCCUAAAGCCACAUUGGGACUUGAACCCACAUGCUGAGACUCAAACCCAGCCAAAACCCAGAUUAGGACUUGAGCCCAUGUGCCAGUACUCAAACCCAACCUAAAGCCAGAUUGAGACAUAAACCCUCAGUUUUAAAUUAAAAUCACUCACCCAGUGUCUGGACCCACUGAGGUUCAGGUUCUUCAUGCCUCCACACAGAAAGAAUUCAGUGAGAGACAAAGUGACAGGCAAGAAAUAGAUUUAUUAGGAUAGGAUGUUUGUGAGAGAUUCAAGUGGGCAGGCAAGGAGGCUUUGCCCACUGGAUCCAGGGGGCUACAGUUUUAUCAUCCAAAGGGAGUGGGAGUUGGAAAGCCCACCUCUUCCUUUCUGGGAGUAGUUGUUCCUCUUUGGUAUCUGGUAAGGUGUGUAUUCAAAUCAGCAGAAGGGCCAAACUCAAAACUCCUGCCCUUGGCCUGAAUCUGAAUGCAGGCCUCAUCCCAUCCCCCAUCCAGCGACCUGAGGCAAUUCUCACACCUCCACUAGUUAAGAAAGCCUCCCUUGUUCUGAUGGCUUUUUGAGCAAUUUAUUAACUUACAGUGAUCUCCCAAAGUCCCUUAAGUUUCCCUCAUUAUCUAUGGUCCCUAUUGGGACUUCUACAACUACCUGUGGCUACUCCAUCCCUAUCAACUCCAUCAACCAUGUGGUCACAAGGGAGAACAGCUGAUUCACUUAGAACGAUUCUGGACCCAGACAGCCAUUCUCUUUUUCACUUUCAGUACACUAUUAAAUAAACUAUAUGAGAUAUUCAGUACUUUAUUCUAAAGUAGGCUAGUGUUGAUGAUUUCGCCCAACUGUAGGGUACUGUGUUAUGAGCACCUUUAAAGUGAACUAGGCUAAGUGUGAUGUUCCAUAGGUUUGCAUUUGCAUUUUCACCUUAUGAUAUUUCCAACUUAGGAUGAGUUUCUAAGGCUGUAAUACAAUGGGUAAGUUGAGGAAGAUCUGUAAUAACAUGUUAUUAUUAUAUUAUAGUAUUAAAUAUAACUGUAAGUAUUUAAAUUUAAUCCUCUCAAAAACCCAAAGAGGAAGGUACAAUUUUCAUCUCUAUAUUUGAGAAGAGAAAAUUUAAUCAUAGAGAUACUAAGUUACACAUCUAGGGCCACACAGCUAGCAAAUAUUCUUUUUUUUUUUUUUUUUUGUCUUUUUGCCUUUUCUAGGGCUACUCCCACGCCUGGGAGCUUCCAUAUGCCAUGGGUGCAUACCCUAAAAGGCAAAAAUAAAUAAAUAAAUAAAUAUUAAAAAAAUAAAACGUAUGUGAAAAUUUAUUUCCUACAAUCAUCUGAAAUGUCCACCUCCUCCAAAAAUUACCUAUUUAGCCGCAGAAGGUAAUAUAAGCUACACUUUCAGAAGUUUAGAGAUAGCAAAGGAACUUUGGUUCAAAAUUGAGAAUAGGGAAUUCCCAUCAUGGCUCAGUGGAUAACAAACCCAACUAACAUCAAUGAGGACGCAGGUUCGAUUCCUGGCCUUGCUCAGGGUUAAGGAUCUGGUGUUGCUGUGAGCUGUGGUGUAGGUCACGGACAUGGCUCAGAUCCCAUAUUACUGUGGCUCUGGCGUAGGCUGGUGGCUACAACUCUGAUUGUACCCGUAGCCUGAGAAUCUCCAUAUGCCACCAGUGUGGCCGUAAAACACACACACACACACACACACACACACACACACACACAAAUGAGAAUAGCAGUUACCACUACAAUAUCUUUUUUUAUUAUUUUACCAUAGACUUGAGAAAUUAAUAAUGAAUAACAAACUUUUUUCCUAAGAAGAGUUUAAUAAUCCAUUAAAAUAUUUUGAUUUCGGGUUUUGUAUGGCUUCCUAAGGAAUUUGGUUAUUACUGGGUAGACUUUGGGGAAUGAUUGAAUUUAGGGGCUAGAUUUCAUUUUCAUAGAGAAGUGUGUUGGCAUUAUUUGUUUCAGGAAGAACACUCUGUCAACAGUAUGUGUGAUAAACCAAGGCGCAGAAGAGACUGGGGGUAAGAAUACCACCUAGAUGAUCAAGAUAGCACAGAUAAUAAGAGGGGUGUCCAGUGCUAAAUCUUUCAAGACGAAAAAGAAUAUGGAAUAAAAAGAACAUCAGGAAGGAUGCUCAUGGAUGCCAGGAUUAAGGGAAAAGAUAGAGAGGGAUAUCAUGGCAAUGAGAUCCCCAGGAGGCUUUUUAGUCACCAAAGGUGGGUUUUGACUUUUAAAGUCAGAAUCUACUUCCAUUGUAUGGAUUAGAUUUUCCUAGUGAUGGAAGGAAAUGAAAUAACCUAAAAAGAUGACACCUACUUUUUUCUGUAAAUGUAUUUAUUCUAAUUGUUGGCAUGCACCUUUGAUUUUCUCAAGAGCUUCCCCCUUCAAUUCCAGAACCCCAAUCAAUGAAGAGUUUUUGGUGCUGACUCUCUUGACAUAAAGUCUUGAAUAAAGCAUGUGACUUCAAUAUCUCCUUAAAAUUGUCUUAACACUGUAUGAUUCUAAAAGUUCCAUAUCAAAUCUCUAUUUUAGUUUUAGAGUUAUUUGAGUUGGUGUCCAAUUUUUUUUUUUCCUUUUUCAAAGUAGGUCAGCCUUAUUAGAUGAUGUAUUUGCAUUUACUUAGGUAAGAUUUCAGAAAGCACUUAAGGUUUAAGCCACAUUAUGAAAGUGUGUUAUGUCUGUUUGUGUCCUUUAAAAACCACAUACUAAUUGUGCAGACCUGAAAUAAUUGAAGGGUAGGUUUUAUAAAUCAUAGUGAAAUAAAUAAGAAUACUUAUACAUUACCUAACAAAAAUACUUAAAUUGAGAAAUACAUCUGUGUUCAAACUUUAGAUUUUUAAAUUGAGGUUCCAAGUGGAUAAUUGAAGCUGUGCACAGUGAUCUAAAAUUAUCUGGUAAAGCCCACAAAAUAAAAUCUCAUCUGCAUAAUUGUGUUGAUACCUUGUCAAUGGGAUUCAAUAACAGCAUUUUUCACUAACUGAAGCAAUCAAAGUCCAGAAGAGGUUGAAAUACAACAUGAAUAAGCAGGUCAGUUGCACAUUAUUAGAAAGAUUUAAGUGCUAUCUAAUUAACACUGAGGAAUUUUAUACUUUUGUAGAAUAGAAUACACUACUGAGAAAUAAAUGGGAGAAAUUCAUGUUAAUGACAUAGAUAUGGGGCCAGUGGAAUGGAUUGAAGUCAAACAACUUUUAAAUGGUGCAUCGUAUGUUUCAAUAGCUUGGGUGUCUAAGGUGGGGGAUUUGGGAUAUGGGUGGAGUUUACAGGAGCUCACCAACACUCUAAGAGUGAGGGGUGAUAAAAAAGCAGAAUGUACUAUUCCUGGUAGUCAUUUGUGGAAUAAUACAGAGCAAAAAAAAAUCAGAGGCCAGUGUCUUUCGCAUGGAUUGCUUCAUAUUCAUUUAGAAUGGCCAGAGUAAGAAUAAAACAAAAUUUACUUACAUUUCUUCUGACAAGUCAAUGUUUUUUUAGGCUAUCUUUCAAUUUUUAGUCAUCACCAGUUUCUAGCAAAGAAGUCUCAGUAGCCUCCACUCUUGGAAUGUUUAAAAUUCUGUGUUUGACCUAUACCUUGAGCUGGCAACCAAAUUCAUCUUCCCUUCCCUGUUUCCUCAUUCAUGCUCACUCUUUCUAGUGACUUUAUAUUGGUGACUCAUUAUGAGCUCCCAAAUAAACAUCACACUUGCUCAUCACUUACCUAACCAAUACAUAAUAAUACAGUCUUUAAUAUAUACCAUCUACUGUGCUAAAUACUUGACAAGUAUUAGUCCAUUUGAUUGUGAAAACAACCUUAGGAGGGAGACAGGUAGUAGCAUAAUUACCCACACUCUAAUGAUAAACACACCAAGGGCUUGGAAGUUGCCCAAUUUUACAUAGCCAGUAAGCAAUUAUUCUCUGACUCCAGAGAUUAUGCUCUUAACCUGAGUAAUUUGUUUUCUUCCAUAUAAACACUCACCCCUUAGAUGCCUUAAAUUAGGAAAUCCUUACUGAGCCCCAAAUUUCACCUAUAUUCUUCUCUGUUACCAGCAUAAAAUGGGAGUGGGAGGUUAAUAAAUCAAAUAUGUUACACGGAGGAUUUUUUUUUUAAAGGAUCAUGUUUUAAAGUUCGUCAUAUAUGUUGCACCCUAAUUUGUCAAUCUUGGGCACAAAUCUUGGGCAAGAUUUGCUCAUUUUGCUUUUUAGUUAAAUUUGAAUUCAACCAAAUUUUUGCAAAACAAAACAAAACAAAACAACCUGAGUUCCCAUUGUGGUGCAGUAGAAAAAAAUCUGACUAGAAACCAUGAGGUUGCUGGUUCGAUCUCUGGCCUCACUCAGUGGGUUAAGGGUCUGGCAUUGCCCUGAGCUUUGUUGUAGGUCACAGAUGCAGUUUAGAUUGGGCAUUGAAUCAGCGGCUACAUCUGAUUCAACCCCUAGCGUGGGAACCUCCGUUCGAUGCAAGUGCAGCCCUAAAAGCAAAAAAAAUAAAGUAACCUCAAAUAAUUUGGGGAUAUACUAUGGCAAUAUUUGAAAACGUCUACAGGACAAUGAAGAGCCAAUUUUGUAGUCCAAGGCUUAAAUUCAUAAUGAAAAUGAAAACCAUGUAUUAUUAGAGAUAUUUCGAUAUUCUCUAGUGGUACAGUGGAUUAAGAAUUUGGCAUUGCUGGGAAUUCCUAUCAUGGCUCAGCAGAAAUGAAUAUGGCUAGUAUCCAUGAGGAUGCAGGUUCAAUCCCUGGCCUGGCUCAGUGGGUUAAGGAUUAGGUGUUACAUGAGCUAUGGUGUAGGUCACAGACAUGGCUCAGAUCUUGUGGUGUUGUGGCUGUGGCAUAGGCUGGCAGCUGCAGCUCCAAUUCAACCCCUAGCCUGGGAUGCUCUGUAUGCCUCAGGUAUGGCCCUAAAAAAUG
This 5876-nucleotide long non-coding RNA is filed under the name Sus scrofa (pig). Its description in RNAcentral is "lncRNA (ENSSSCG00050037939.1)". The record is from RNAcentral. Lineage: Eukaryota; Metazoa; Chordata; Mammalia; Artiodactyla; Suidae.